Octodon degus (degu) is the source of this 602-nucleotide long non-coding RNA. RefSeq lists it as uncharacterized. The transcript has 4 exons. Lineage: Eukaryota; Metazoa; Chordata; Mammalia; Rodentia; Octodontidae. The record is from RefSeq and is a predicted model, not a curated record.
UCUUUUCAUUUUUUGUCUACCUUUAAUAAACUUAAAUCUUGGUUGUCGUUCAUGCUUAUUUCAUUCAGUUCUUGGUUCAGGACAAGAAAACCCCUAAAAAUCACCUCAUAAAAGAAAAACACUGCAACACCCCAAAGUCUCAUAACAAAAAGGAAGAAAGUGCAACAGCAUGGAUGACACCAGGAGAAACCUGAGAACCUUUGAUAUUGGGACUCGACUUCUGGUUGCUGUUUUUGCUGUAUCACUCAAGGAACCUGAGCUGAGUCCAUUUGGUGAGAAGCCAGAACUGAAGGAGUAGGUGGAGGAAAGAAUGUCAGCAGAUCUGGAGGGUGAGGACAUCCUGGAAUGGACAAUGUCAUUAUGAGACUGGUAGAAACUAAAGAGGAUGAGUCUCUCGUUCUACCUGUUCCACCACCAUCCAUCAUCAUGGGACUACACAUCAGGUCUUCUUGUCAUUCAAAGGCUGACCUAAGUAAUUCAUAUACUGAGCAGGAUUUACGAUCACAGCUGGAGAAGACUAAGGAGAAGUUUCAUGAACUCAAAGGAUGUUUUCUUGUGUCUGAAGCUACUGUCUAUUCCAUGGCUAAUGAGCUGAAAAGGCA